UACGUAGGGUGCGAGCAUUGUCCGGAAUUAUUGGGCGUAAAGGGCUCGUAGGCGGUUCGUCACGUCGGGAGUGAAAACUCGGAGCUUAACUCCGAGCCUGCUUCCGAUACGGGCAGACUAGAGGUAGGCAGGGGAGAGCGGAACUCCUGGUGUAGCGGUGGAAUGCGCAGAUAUCAGGAAGAACACCGGUGGCGAAGGCGGCUCUCUGGGCCUUACCUGACGCUGAGGAGCGAAAGCGUGGGUAGCGAACAGG
RNAcentral lists this ribosomal RNA (253 nucleotides) under uncultured bacterium. RNAcentral describes it as "partial 16S ribosomal RNA". It matches the Rfam family "Bacterial small subunit ribosomal RNA", at positions 524 to 776 of the family's 1533-position model. The record is from RNAcentral.